Daktulosphaira vitifoliae (grape phylloxera) is the source of this 1222-nucleotide long non-coding RNA. RefSeq lists it as uncharacterized. The transcript is spliced from 3 exons. Lineage: Eukaryota; Metazoa; Arthropoda; Insecta; Hemiptera; Phylloxeridae. The record is from RefSeq and is a predicted model, not a curated record.
GUUUAUUAAGAAAAAAUCAUUAAAGACGAGAACGUUAUGGGUCGUAAAUCGAUAAGCGCUACCAGUUUUUAGUAAUUCGAUAUCUGUAGAAAAAGCAUAGGUAUACUUCUAUGUUGGUUGUUGAAAAAAAACCUAUAUGACGUAAUGAGAAUUGUUUGAUUUUUAUCAGUUAACAAGUUGUUACAAACUUAUGCAAACAAUGAAUGACUAUAUUAGAUCGUCGCUUGUAAACAAUGAUCUGUCACAUGGUUGUGUACACAGUUUGAAAAGUGUGUUUAAUUGAAAAGUUAUGUAUUAUUCAUAAUUAGAAAUUACUGCGUUGACAAUUAAUAAGUUCUAUUUAAAUUUAUUCAUAAGAUGCUUACAUAUUUAUUUGUAUACAUAUCAAUGAAACAAUUCAUUAUGGAAUUUUAUAUUCGAUUAGAAGAACAUAUUUCUAUUUCUCAUUUAAUUUAAGGAUAUGUAUAUAAAGUAUUAUGAAAUCUUAACAGCCUUAGAUCAUAAAAAUACAUCAGAUUUUUAGUGCUUGUGUGAUGGAGACUAUUAAUUAUUUUAUAUUGGUAUUUAUUGACACAUGUUAUUAUUAACCAGAAAAAGCUUUAGUUCAGUUGUCUUAUUAUGAAAAUAGAUUAUUCCAACAUGUUCAAUAUAUAUUUGUUGCUAAUAAAAAUUAAAAAUUGCCUAUCAAAGACUUAGCACGGUUUAACCUCAAUUAUUAUUUUUAAAUGAGACUGGGGUACAUCAGAACUAAUUAACAUUUGGAUAUGAAAUUUAUAAUAAUAAAUGAUUUAUUAAUUAUUAAUAAAGUAUCUAUGAAAAUCUAGAUUUUAAUAAGAUCAUUAAAAAAAAUUUUCAGCAGAAAUUAGUUGUUAUAAAGCAAUAAUUAAAAAUCUUUUGACUUAAAAGAAAAUUGAAGUAUAGAUAUAUUAAUUAGUAUUAAAAAAAAUUACUGUAUUUUUUUUCUAUUAAUUAUUUUAUUAGAAUAUAUAAUAUUUCUAAUUUAAAUGAAAAAGACAUAAAUUAAUUUUUAUUGAUGGGGUCUCAAACUAAUUUUUUGGUAGAAGUAAGUAUACAAAAUCACUACCUUUUCUUUUUAUUAAAAAAACUGAUCAAAUUUUAAUCUUAGGUCAGGGCCGUAUACAUGGUACAGUAAUAGGAUCUGAGUUACUAGUAUGUCAAUUAUUUUAAGAGAAGUGUUAAUUUUGAAAUUUCCUUAAUAAAA